UUAUCGCCAUCUGGUCCAAAGAGAACUACCCUUUGACGCUGAUAAGACUGUCAUCGGCCAGUCAAUAACCUCUACCAUUUCCCUUUUUUCUUCUGGUAUUGACAUUUUAAAUUUUUUUUUUUCUAGAUCCAUUGCCUUCCUCCCACAAGUCUCCCCUGUUCGAAACCAUUGAUCCAUCGCCUUCUUCCCACAAGUCUCCCUUGUUCGAAACCAUCGGUAAAAAUUUCUUCCCGCCGUCGACCUACCUAUUCUCCCGCUCGUCGAUGCCGGAUGUCGAUUUAAUCCUUUGUAGGCCAUGUUUGGUUCAAUUAACAUUAUAGUGUUUAGUUACAAAAUUCCUGUCAUGGGUCACAUUCAUUUUAGAAUGAAAAAUCAGUUUAUAGUACAAAAAUUGAGAUAGUCAUCAUGCCCCAUUUUACUCAUUUUCAUUCUUUGAGAAAACUCUAACUACAAAACCGAUGUUUACUAGCAGACUAUGUGAAAGUACUUUUACAAAAGCACUUUUAUAAAA
This is a long non-coding RNA of Nelumbo nucifera (sacred lotus), 511 nucleotides long. RefSeq lists it as uncharacterized. Lineage: Eukaryota; Viridiplantae; Streptophyta; Magnoliopsida; Proteales; Nelumbonaceae. The record is from RefSeq and is a predicted model, not a curated record.